Molecule: ribosomal RNA, 465 nt
Filed under: uncultured bacterium
Lineage: Bacteria
Description: partial 16S ribosomal RNA
Rfam family: Bacterial small subunit ribosomal RNA
Source: RNAcentral
GACGAACGCUGGCGGCGUGCUUAACACAUGCAAGUCGAACGGAAAGGCCCUGCUUGCAGGGUACUCGAGUGGCGAACGGGUGAGUAACACGUGGGUGAUCUGCCCUGCACUUCGGGAUAAGCCUGUGCAACUGGGUCUAAUACCGGAUAGGAGCCAUUUUUAGUGUGAUGGUUGGAAAGUUUUUUCGGUGUAGGAUGAGCUCGCGGCCUAUCAGCUUGUUGGUGGGGUAAUGGCCUACCAAGGCGGCGACGGGUAGCCGGCCUGAGGGGGUGGACUGCCACACUGAGACUGAGAGAAGGCCCAGACUGCGAAGGGAGGCAGAAGUGGGGAAGAUUGAACAAGGGGCGCAAGCCGGAUGCAGCGACGCCGCGGGGGGGAUGACGGCCUUCGGGGUGUAAAAUCCUUUCGCUAGGGACGAAGCUUUUUGUGACGGUACCUAGAUAAGAAGCACCGGCUAACUACGUG